This 659-nucleotide ribosomal RNA is filed under the name uncultured bacterium. Its description in RNAcentral is "bacterial SSU rRNA". It matches the Rfam family "Bacterial small subunit ribosomal RNA", at positions 54 to 745 of the family's 1533-position model. The record is from RNAcentral.
CAUGCAAGUCGGACGCCGCAGUCGCCUUCGGGCGGCAUGUGGAGUGGCGGACGGGUGAGUAACGCGUAGGAACCUGCCCGGAAGUGGGGGACAACCGCUGGAAACGGCGGCUAAUACCGCAUACGCCCCAAGGGGGAAAGGCUUCGGCCGCUUUCGGAGGGUCCUGCGUUCGAUUAGCUAGUCGGUGAGGUGACGGCUCACCGAGGCGACGAUCGAUAGCUGGUCUGAGAGGAUGAUCAGCCACACUGGGACUGAGACACGGCCCAGACUCCUACGGGAGGCAGCAGUGGGGAAUAUUGGACAAUGGGCGAAAGCCUGAUCCAGCAAUGCCGCGUGUGUGACGAAGGCCUUAGGGUUGUAAAGCACUUUCGCCCGCGAGGAUGAUGACGGUAGCGGGAGAAGAAGCCCCGGCUAACUCCGUGCCAGCAGCCGCGGUAAUACGGAGGGGGCGAGCGUUGUUCGGAAUUACUGGGCGUAAAGGGCGUGUAGGCGGCCUUGUCAGUCAGGCGUGAAAUCCCCGGGCUCAACCUGGGACGUGCGCUUGAUACUGCAGGGCUUGAGAGCGAGAGAGGUAAGCGGAAUUCCCAGUGUAGAGGUGAAAUUCGUAGAUAUUGGGAAGAACACCAGUGGCGAAGGCGGCUUACUGGCUCGUUCUGACG